This 1231-nucleotide unclassified non-coding RNA is filed under the name uncultured Neocallimastigales. RNAcentral's name for it is "partial contains small subunit ribosomal RNA, internal transcribed spacer 1, 5.8S ribosomal RNA, internal transcribed spacer 2, and large subunit ribosomal RNA". The stretch from base 644 to 1231 matches the Rfam family "Eukaryotic large subunit ribosomal RNA", at positions 1 to 587 of the family's 3401-position model. The record is from RNAcentral. Lineage: Eukaryota; Fungi; Neocallimastigomycota; Neocallimastigomycetes; Neocallimastigales.
UUUCCGUAGGUGAACCUGCGGAAGGAUCAUUAAAAAAUUGGACUCCAUUGGUGAGUUCAUUAAUAAUCCCUACCCUUUGUGAAUUUGUUUGUUUGAAUAAUUUUUUUCCAAAAAAAUUAUUGAAUGUCUUUCCCUGUUGGUGGAGCUGUAAAGUGAAACCGGCAGGGGAGUGGCAAACAAUAAUUAUUUUUGAAAAAGACCUUUUUAAAAUUAAACUUUUGUAUUCAUUUGUCUAAAAUUAUUUUUAUAAUAUAAAAACAACUUUUGACAAUGGAUCUCUUGGUUCUCGCAACGAUGAAGAACGCAGCAAAAUGCGAUAAGUAGUGUGAAUUGCAGAAUACGUGAAUCAUCGAAUCUUCGAACGCAUAUUGCACUUUUUAGUUUACUAAAAAAGUAUGUCUGUUUGAGUAUCAGUAAAAUAUUCUCAUAAAAAUUUAUUUUUUAUGGUUAUGAGUGUUUUACAACGAUAACAAGUUGUUUCACUUUAAAUUCUUUGUUAUCAAAAAAUCAUUAAAACUAAUUUUAAAGAUUUUUUAAAAUUGGAUAAAAUUUUCCCGUAAAAAGGAAUAACCUAAACAAUUUUAAAAAUUAAAAUUGGUUUGAUUUUUCUUGAUUUAAAAAGGAAAAAAAGUAAAAAUUAACUUGAUCUCAAAUCAGAUAAGAGUACCCGCUGAACUUAAGCAUAUCAAUAAGCGGAGGAAAAGAACUAACUAGGAUUCCCUCAGUAACGGCGAGUGAAGCGGGAAGAGCUCAAAUUUGAAAUCUUCAAGGUUUUACCUUGACGAAUUGUAGUUUAAAGAAGUGUUUCUGUUGGAGUUUAGGUAAAAGUUCUUUGGAAAAGGACAUCAUAGAGGGUGAGAAUCCCGUAUUUGACCAUUAUCUCCAGCUUUGUGAUACACUUUCAAAGAGUCGGAUUGUUUGGGAAUGCAGUCCAAAUGGGUGGUAAAUUUCAUCUAAAGCUAAAUACUGGCGAGAGACCGAUAGCGAACAAGUACCGUGAGGGAAAGAUGAAAAGAACUUUGAAAAGAGAGUUAAACAGUACGUGAAAUUGUCAAAAGGGAAGUGUUUGACACCAGUGUUGUUUUCUCGAAAAUCAAUUAAAAAAGGCCGAUUUUGUGUUGUAUUGACUUUAUCAGCUUUCUGCACUCUUUUCUUGUCUUUUUUAAUGCACUUUUCGUUUAACAAGUCAACAUCAAUUUCUUUUGUUGUAAAAGGGUCAUUGGAAGGUGGC